RNAcentral lists this long non-coding RNA (297 nucleotides) under Sorghum bicolor (sorghum). RNAcentral describes it as "long non-coding RNA (SBIC_LNC014949)". Lineage: Eukaryota; Viridiplantae; Streptophyta; Magnoliopsida; Poales; Poaceae. The record is from RNAcentral.
AGGAGUGGAUGCUUGAGGUGGCAGCAGCUCAAGACCUGGAGGAGACGUUGUCCGACGUCGAAGCUUCUGUUGGUGAUCUGAUCAGCGCGAAGGAGUUUGAGGAGAUGGCUGCGAUUACCUUUGAGUUUGGGGAGUCGACAGUGAGGACGGAGGAUAUCGCUGACAUGGUUGAAGCGCGGUUUUUCAAGGAUGGCCGCGCGAAGGCUCCUCCUGCGGGUCAGACGGUGCCUGCGCCUGAAGAGGGUUAUACUGUUGUAUUCAGGGACUUUUUUACCUGCGGACUUCGGAUGCCUCCGU